UGGUGGAGUGAUUUGUCUGGUUAAUUCCGUUAACGAACGAGACCUCGACCUGCUAAAUAGUUGACCGAACUCUUAGGGGUUUGGAUUAACUUCUUAGAGGGACUUUUGGUGAGUAGCCAAAGGAAGUUCGAGGCAAUAACG
This 141-nucleotide ribosomal RNA is filed under the name uncultured eukaryote. RNAcentral's name for it is "partial 18S ribosomal RNA". It matches the Rfam family "Eukaryotic small subunit ribosomal RNA", at positions 1299 to 1457 of the family's 1831-position model. The record is from RNAcentral.